CAGAUGCACCUGUUUAAUGCUUGAUUAUUGAAGUUGUGUUUCUGAUGAACUUCCUGUUCCUCCGCUUCUACUCAUUCAAGCCUUUAACUACUUUUGUGAAUCACCUACGUUGGAUCAAGCCUUCAUUUUUAAAGUGUGUCUCGAGUGUUUAUCUCUUUCAACUUUCUUCACCUAAGGUAUUUAUCCUUUGCCGAAACCCAUAGCCAGAACCUCUGACGUCAUCUCACUCCGACUACCAGCUGUGUCUCUACACCUCUCACACGCUGUUUCUCUGGAGCCGCACAGCACUCGCUCCCUGCAGCCUUCCUCCAGUCUGACCUGUUCAGCGUACGCUGCAUAAUCAAUACCGCUGCUUCCCUGCUGUGACUUUGUUUCAUACCAGUCUCCGCUCAGAUCCACAGAUCCACGAGCUGGCAUGUUUUGUUGGCAUAAAGAUUUUUAUGAACUGUAAUCAUUGCCACACCUAAGACAAAAAUAGUGAUUCCAAGACAAGCAAACUUCUGUUAAAGGCAAGAAAUAUUGGAAGAUCUGCAAGGAAAUUAAAAUGGAAGUUGUGAAAAACGUUUCUCUAUUUAAUUAAAAAGAAAGCAUUUACAAUGAA
Molecule: long non-coding RNA, 601 nt
Organism: Bombina bombina (fire-bellied toad)
Lineage: Eukaryota; Metazoa; Chordata; Amphibia; Anura; Bombinatoridae
Exons: 2
Source: RefSeq, a predicted model, not a curated record